UACGAAGGUGGCAAGCGUUGUUCGGAUUUACUGGGCGUAAAGGGAGCGUAGGUGGUUAGGUAAGCCCUCCGGGAAAUCUUCAGGCUUAACCUGAAAAGGUCGGGGGGGACUGCCUAGCUAGAGGGCGGGAGAGGAGCGCGGAAUUCCCGGUGUAGCGGUGAAAUGCGUAGAGAUCGGGAGGAAGGCCGGUGGCGAAGGCGGCGCUCUGGAACGUUUCUGACACCGAGGCUCGAAAGCGUGGGGAGCAAACAGG
Molecule: ribosomal RNA, 253 nt
Filed under: uncultured bacterium
Lineage: Bacteria
Description: partial 16S ribosomal RNA
Rfam family: Bacterial small subunit ribosomal RNA
Source: RNAcentral